This is a long non-coding RNA of Homo sapiens (human), 2185 nucleotides long. RefSeq lists it as uncharacterized. The record is from RefSeq and is a predicted model, not a curated record. Lineage: Eukaryota; Metazoa; Chordata; Mammalia; Primates; Hominidae. The transcript has 5 exons.
UCCGCCAUCUGCAGCUCCCUGCAGACUUGCAUGCUCAGACGGGAGCUGUCCACCGCCUGCAACAGGAAAAGGGCUUGCUUGCGUGUGGUAACCACCUUCUUCAACUUUCUCUGGAAGGAUUGUGGAGAGACCUUUUUCUGCUAGAGAAAGUGUGCAACAUGGUAAAGAGAACUGUAGGAAGAGAAAUGGCAGCCCUGCUUGAGCAGUGAGAAUAAUAAAAUGGUCAUCUGGAGAGCUCCAGAGACAGUUGGCAAGGUUCAAAUUCAAGCUUUACCAGAUUCUAGGGAUACAAUGGUGAACAGGCAAAUGAUGAAGUCAAGUCCUGGAGAUGACUGGUGUUUAGUCCCUAGUUGCACUAAACCUGUUUUCAUGGAGUUUACACGAGAAGUGGAGACAAAAGACAGACAAUAACCAAGUAGUCAGUAAACCAAUAAAAUAAUUUCAGAUAGUGGUUUGGUGUGGAGAUUACUGAUGAAGAGCUUGACUUACUACUUGACAGAAUCCCCUUGAUGAAGAUGGAAAUGUCAGAGACCCCCGAUUCAUGCCACGUUGGAUUCUUAGCACUUCUUUUCCACAUUUUCUCAUUUCUUCGUACAUUUUUUAUUCUUGCUUUUAGUACAGAGAAUGUACCCCUCAAAGUGCUAGGAUUAUUUAAAUUUUCUCUUUAUUGGCUGGUAUCUCACUUAUUAAUAUUUUAUAAGUGACAAAGGAUUUUUGAAAAAACAUUGUUAACAAAAAGGUAGAAUUUUUAAACGAUGAACUAUGGCAAUGCAUUUGAAACUAGUUAAUGUCUCGGAACCUGAAUAGUGGACAUGGGAGGGUAAUGUGUGACUGAGGUGACAAACGAGGCAUGUAAACUGUGUUUGCAGAGUUGGGAAGAAAAUUGCAGUUAAGUGGCAAAAUUCAAGUCCUGGAGAUGACUGGUGUUUAGUCCCCAAUUGCACUAAACACUCCCACACACACUGACUUUUACCCCUCACUUGCCUCCCAAGGGACUCCCAUUUACAAGACAUCUUUCUACUUUCUUCCCAGAGGAUUCUGCCUGGACAGUACAAUACACACCUAUUGCCAAUGGUUGUGUUAAAGGCAGAGCAAGAAUGCCUUCUGAAAUACUCUCAAUCUGUAUUUCUCUAUCAGGGAACCCAAGUUUUUACUCUUUUCUAAAAUCUUUUCAUGGAUUUUAUAGGGUAGAUCAAGGCUUAAGUAUUUAAAAUUCUGAUCAGUAUUGACCAUUUCAUUCCUCGAGUACUUUAAGGCAUGUUGCAGUCCCAGGCAUCUGAUGAUUUGGGCUGAAGCCACUGAAAGAUGGGCUGCUUCUUCCUAAAGAUACUUUUUUUUCCAUGGCAGUUUCGGAAUAUAACUAUCUUCAUCCCAUAUGCCUCCUGGACCAUCCUCCAGAUCUCAUGAUUAUCUCUUUAGCCAUGAAACCCACCCAUGUUUUCUGUUAGUUCUUGAUAGCAGGGUGGAAGUUACCAACCUGGUUUGGCUUGAAGGGCAUUGUAAGAGCAUGCUACAAGUCAGAGAAUGCCCUCAGACAGAGUCGCAGGUGCUGGCAGUAGGAAGCCCUCGAAGUGAAAGAGAACCAGGAGUGCUGAGGAGGUACCAGUAGGCCUUACCUAAAGGUAGCUGUCCCACCAAGAAUACCACGUCCAAGAGCAGGAUUCUCCUUCCAAAGUGUGUGUGUGGACUUGAGAAGCAGCCUUUGGAAGACGGGGCUGCCCAGACUUUAUAGAGCCUACUUCAAUUUCUCGGAGGUCUGCAAUCUCAGGUUGUCAGUCAUCCAGGACCUUGGCUGUUGGUGAGACAGAGUGCUUCCUUUUGGGUGAAGAACUCUGUAUUACUUUCCUAGGGCUGCCAUCAUGAAGCACCACAAACUGGGUGGCUUAAAAUGACAGGAAUGUAUUCUCUCAGAGUUCCAGAGGCUGGAAGUUCAAGAUCAAGGUGUGAGCUGGGGCACGCUCCCUCUGAGCUCCGAAGAAUCCUUCCCUCCCCUUUCCUUGCUUCUCAGGGUGACUGGUAAUCCCUGUGAGCCUUGUUCUGCGGCUGUUCCACUCUCAUCUUUGCCUCUGCUGUCAUAUGGCACACUGCGUGUCUCUGUCUCUGUGUCCAAAUUUCCUUGCUCUCAUAAAGACACCAGUCUUCUCCGAUUGAGGGCUCAACUUACUGCAGUAUGACUUGUCUUAAC